GUCUACAGCCAUGCCAGCCCAAUCUUGUCUGAUCUCAGAAGCAAAGCAGGGUCCAGCCUGGUUAGUACUUGGAUGGGAGACCACCUAGGAAGACCAGGUGCUGUAGGUG
RNAcentral lists this ribosomal RNA (109 nucleotides) under Pteropus alecto (black flying fox). The record is from RNAcentral. Lineage: Eukaryota; Metazoa; Chordata; Mammalia; Chiroptera; Pteropodidae.